RNAcentral lists this transfer RNA (76 nucleotides) under Clostridiaceae bacterium. RNAcentral's name for it is "tRNA-Lys". It matches the Rfam family "tRNA". Rfam says of the family: Transfer RNA (tRNA) molecules are approximately 80 nucleotides in length. Their secondary structure includes four short double-helical elements and three loops (D, anti-codon, and T loops). Further hydrogen bonds mediate the characteristic L-shaped molecular structure. tRNAs have two regions of fundamental functional importance: the anti-codon, which is responsible for specific mRNA codon recognition, and the 3' end, to which the tRNAs corresponding amino acid is attached (by aminoacyl-tRNA synthetases). tRNAs cope with the degeneracy of the genetic code in two manners: having more than one tRNA (with a specific anti-codon) for a particular amino acid; and 'wobble' base-pairing, i.e. permitting non-standard base-pairing at the 3rd anti-codon position. Lineage: Bacteria; Bacillati; Bacillota; Clostridia; Eubacteriales; Clostridiaceae. The record is from RNAcentral.
GAUCCACUAGCUCAGACGGUAGAGCACUUGACUUUUAAUCAAGGGGCCCGGGGUUCGAGUCCCCGGUGGAUCACCA